AUUGAACGCUGGCGGAAUGCUUUACACAUGCAAGUCGAACGGCAGCACGGACUUCGGUCUGGUGGCGAGUGGCGAACGGGUGAGUAAUACAUCGGAACGUGCCCAGUCGUGGGGGAUAACGUAGCGAAAGCUACGCUAAUACCGCAUACGAUCUAAGGAUGAAAGCGGGGGAUCGCAAGACCUCGCGCGAUUGGAGCGGCCGAUGGCAGAAUUAGGUAGUUGGUAGGGUAAAGGCCUACCAAGCCGAGGAUCAGUAGCUGGUCUGAGAGGACGACCAGCCACACUGGGACGGAGACACGGCCCAGACUCCAACGGGAGGCAGCAGUGGGGAAUUUUGGACAAUGGACGCAAGUAUGAUCCAGCCAUUCCGCGUGCAGGAUGAAGGCCCUCGGGUUGUAAACUGCUUUUGUACAGAACGAAAAGGCUCUGGUUAAUACCUGGAGCUCAUGACGGUACUGUAAGAAUAAGCACCGGCUAACUACGUGCCAGCAGCCGCCGUAA
This 501-nucleotide ribosomal RNA is filed under the name uncultured bacterium. RNAcentral's name for it is "partial 16S ribosomal RNA". It matches the Rfam family "Bacterial small subunit ribosomal RNA", at positions 30 to 523 of the family's 1533-position model. The record is from RNAcentral.